Non-coding RNA from Pelobates cultripes (western spadefoot toad), 919 nucleotides. NCBI's taxonomy places the organism in Eukaryota, Metazoa, Chordata, Amphibia, Anura, Pelobatidae. The record is from the annotation of a GenBank genome assembly.
GGAGAAAUUGUGUUUUUUGUUGUAAUGUUCUGCCUCUAUGUAGUUUGUGAUCAUGUAGGAUGUUUUUAAUGCUUAGGUAUGUGAAUAAUUCCCUAGACGGGAGGCUGAAUGUCUGUUGUAGUAUUGGGAAGGGUGUCACUCCCGCAUCAUCGAUCAAGGAGCUCACAUGGAGAAUACCCUGUCGUACCCAAGUAUCAAGGCACAGAUCGUGUGUGGAGUGUUAGUGAUUGCAAGGGCGCGGCAUGUAGGAGGUCUCUACCUAUUUCCAGUUUUAGGAUCGACUGUCUCCAUAUACGGAGCAGCAGUUUCGUCGGGGGUAGGAUAUUAGCGUCCUGUAGCUGCCGGUCCGAGCAUGCCCAAAGGGCAUCCUUUACCGUUCCUUUUGACAUACAGGCAUUUUCUAGUGCCAGCCAGACGGGGGAUGCCAUACCUUCCAGGAUCGUGAGGCCCUGUGCCAGUAUUGAUGCUUUGUAAUAUAGCUGAACGUUGGGCACACUAAGGCCUCCUUCCGAAAGGAGUCUCCAGAUCAAUUUAUGUGAGACUCGGGGAGGUUUUCUCUUCCAGAUAUGUGCGUUUAUGAUCGAUUGGAAUCUUUUCACUAUUGCGUUUGGGAUCGCUAUCGGCAGUGUACGGAAGAGGCAUAAGAUGUGUGGCAUAAUCAUCAUCUUAACAGUAUUAAUGCGCCCCAGCCACGAGAUCCCUUUAUCGUCCCAUUGUUUGAGUUGGAGAUCUAGUUUCCGCAGAAGCGAGAUAUGAUUCACUUUAGUAACUAAUGUGGGUGUGGCCCGUAAUUGAAUACCUAGGUACGAAAUCGAAGUUUUACGCCAAUCGAAUGGAUAUUCAGAUUUGAGGGUUUGUAGUGUGUGGUGUGGCAUGCGGAUUGCUAAUGCUUGCAAUUUUUUUUUCCGCAUUAUUCCUA